AUGGCGGAAGUUUUAGCUCUCAAAUUUGGUCUAACACUGGCGCAAAGGGCGGGAUGCAAUCACCUUAUUAUAAAUUUGGAUAAUAUGGAGGUGAUUGAUAAUAUGCAUGUUGGAGGGCAGCCGGCGGCAGCAAUCUUCGAUGAUUGUUUUCAUUAUGCAUGUGAUUUCGUUACUGCUAGGUUUGAGCACUGUAAUAGGGAAGCAAAUAAAGUAGCUUAUGAGCUUGCUAGAUUAGCUAGAUUUUCUUUGACUUCUGAAUGGUACGAGGAACCUUUAAAUAAAAUUGUAAUGAUCUUCGCAAACGAUGUACUACUUAUUAUAAAUGAAUAA
RNAcentral lists this ribosomal RNA (330 nucleotides) under Triticum aestivum (bread wheat). RNAcentral's name for it is "partial small subunit ribosomal RNA". The record is from RNAcentral. Lineage: Eukaryota; Viridiplantae; Streptophyta; Magnoliopsida; Poales; Poaceae.